This 543-nucleotide ribosomal RNA is filed under the name Colletotrichum sp. GM22. RNAcentral describes it as "eukaryotic LSU rRNA". The stretch from base 182 to 335 matches the Rfam family "5.8S ribosomal RNA". The record is from RNAcentral. Lineage: Eukaryota; Fungi; Ascomycota; Sordariomycetes; Glomerellales; Glomerellaceae.
GGAUCAUUACUGAGUUUACGCUCUACAACCCUUUGUGAACAUACCUAUAACUGUUGCUUCGGCGGGUAGGGUCUCCGUGACCCUCCCGGCCUCCCGCCCCCGGGCGGGUCGGCGCCCGCCGGAGGAUAACCAAACUCUGAUUUAACGACGUUUCUUCUGAGUGGUACAAGCAAAUAAUCAAAACUUUUAACAACGGAUCUCUUGGUUCUGGCAUCGAUGAAGAACGCAGCGAAAUGCGAUAAGUAAUGUGAAUUGCAGAAUUCAGUGAAUCAUCGAAUCUUUGAACGCACAUUGCGCCCGCCAGCAUUCUGGCGGGCAUGCCUGUUCGAGCGUCAUUUCAACCCUCAAGCUCUGCUUGGUGUUGGGGCCCUACAGCUGAUGUAGGCCCUCAAAGGUAGUGGCGGACCCUCCCGGAGCCUCCUUUGCGUAGUAACUUUACGUCUCGCACUGGGAUCCGGAGGGACUCUUGCCGUAAAACCCCCAAUUCUCCAAAGGUUGACCUCGGAUCAGGUAGGAAUACCCGCUGAACUUAAGCAUAUCAAU